This 520-nucleotide ribosomal RNA is filed under the name uncultured Acaulospora. Its description in RNAcentral is "SSU rRNA". It matches the Rfam family "Eukaryotic small subunit ribosomal RNA", at positions 569 to 1087 of the family's 1831-position model. Lineage: Eukaryota; Fungi; Glomeromycota; Glomeromycetes; Diversisporales; Acaulosporaceae. The record is from RNAcentral.
AGCAGCCGCGGUAAUUCCAGCUCCAAUAGCGUAUAUUAAAGUUGUUGCAGUUAAAAAGCUCGUAGUUGAAUUUCGGAGUUUAUCGGUUGGUCGGGCUUCACUGUCCGCACUGGCCUGAUGGAUUCCUACCUUCUGAAUAACCAGCAUGCUAUUAAUUUAGUGCGUUGGGGAAGCAGAGCUAUUACCUUGAAAAAAUUAGAGUGCUUAAAGCAGGCUUAUGCUUGAAUAGAUUAGCAUGGAAUAAUAAAAUAGGACGGCUUGGUUCUAUUUUGUUGGUUUCUAGGAUCACCGUAAUGAUUAAUAGGGAUAGUUGGGGGCAUUAGUAUUCAAUUGUCAGAGGUGAAAUUCUUGGAUUUAUUGAAGACUAACUUCUGCGAAAGCAUUUGCCAAGGAUGUUUUCAUUAAUCAAGAACGAAAGUUAGGGGAUCGAAGACGAUCAAAUACCGUCGUAGUCUUAAACCAUAAACUAUAGCCGACUAGGGAUCGGACGAUGUUAAUUUUUAAUGACUCGUUCGCGUAC